AUUGAACGCUGGCGGAAUGCUUUACACAUGCAAGUCGAACGGCAGCACGGGGGCAGCCCUGGUGGCGAGUGGCGAACGGGUGAGUAAUACAUCGGAACGUGCCCGGUCGUGGGGGAUAACGUAGCGAAAGUUACGCUAAUACCGCAUACGAUCUGAGGAUGAAAGCGGGGGACCUUCGGGCCUCGCGCGAUCGGAGCGGCCGAUGUCAGAUUAGGUAGUUGGUGGGGUAAAGGCCUACCAAGCCGACGAUUUGUAGCUGGUCUGAGAGGACGACCAGCCACACUGGGACUGAGACACGGCCCAGACCCCUACGGGAGGCAGCAGUGGGGAAUUUUGGACAAUGGGCGCAAGCCUGAUCCAGCCAUUCCGCGUGCAGGACGAAGGCCUUCGGGUUGUAAACUGCUUUUGUACGGAACGAAAAGGCUCUGGCUAAUACCUGGGGCUCAUGACGGUACCGUAAGAAUAAGCACCGGCUAACUACGUG
This 484-nucleotide ribosomal RNA is filed under the name uncultured bacterium. RNAcentral's name for it is "partial 16S ribosomal RNA". It matches the Rfam family "Bacterial small subunit ribosomal RNA", at positions 30 to 507 of the family's 1533-position model. The record is from RNAcentral.